Molecule: transfer RNA, 75 nt
Filed under: Calothrix sp. 336/3
Lineage: Bacteria; Bacillati; Cyanobacteriota; Cyanophyceae; Nostocales; Calotrichaceae
Description: tRNA-Gln
Rfam family: tRNA
About the family: Transfer RNA (tRNA) molecules are approximately 80 nucleotides in length. Their secondary structure includes four short double-helical elements and three loops (D, anti-codon, and T loops). Further hydrogen bonds mediate the characteristic L-shaped molecular structure. tRNAs have two regions of fundamental functional importance: the anti-codon, which is responsible for specific mRNA codon recognition, and the 3' end, to which the tRNAs corresponding amino acid is attached (by aminoacyl-tRNA synthetases). tRNAs cope with the degeneracy of the genetic code in two manners: having more than one tRNA (with a specific anti-codon) for a particular amino acid; and 'wobble' base-pairing, i.e. permitting non-standard base-pairing at the 3rd anti-codon position.
Source: RNAcentral
UGCCUUGUAGUGUAAUUGGCAACACACCUCUCUUUGAAAGAGGUAUUUCAGGUUCAAAUCCUGACGAGGCAGCCA